AAAAAAUCUUAAUUACAGUUUCUUCCCAAAGUUCAUCCAGCAUCACACAGAUAGAGCUUUGAAUUUAUUUUGAUGUUCUAGAACUUGGAGAACAACUGAGUUUAAUUCGGUUGUACCAAACAAAAUUGUAACAAUUAAUUAAAAAAAUCUGCACCUGAACCUAAUGGGUGCUUGUUUGGAACUUCGCUGAUCUAGCUAGGAUAACAGAAUAAAUAAAGAUACAUAUAUGGAAUUUGCGUUUUAACAAGCCUGGAAAUGAUGA
RNAcentral lists this unclassified non-coding RNA (262 nucleotides) under Hevea brasiliensis (rubber tree). The record is from RNAcentral. Lineage: Eukaryota; Viridiplantae; Streptophyta; Magnoliopsida; Malpighiales; Euphorbiaceae.